GACGAACGCUGGCGGCGUGCCUAAUACAUGCAAGUCGAGCGGAACUUAGAAAGCUUGCUUUCAAGUUUAGCGGCGGACGGGUGAGUAACACGUGGGCAACCUACCUUGUAGAUUGGGAUAACUCCGGGAAACCGGGGCUAAUACCGAAUAAUCCAUUUCGCUUCAUGGCGAGAUGUUGAAAGACGGUUUCGGCUGUCACUACAAGAUGGGCCCGCGGCGCAUUAGCUAGUUGGUAGGGUAAUGGCCUACCAAGGCGACGAUGCGUAGCCGACCUGAGAGGGUGAUCGGCCACACUGGGACUGAGACACGGCCCAGACUCCUACGGGAGGCAGCAGUAGGGAAUCUUCCACAAUGGACGAAAGUCUGAUGGAGCAACGCCGCGUGAGUGAAGAAGGUUUUCGGAUCGUAAAACUCUGUUGUAAGGGAAGAACACGUACGAGAGUAACUGCUCGUACCUUGACGGGUACCUUAUUAGAAAGCCACGGCUAACUACGUG
Molecule: ribosomal RNA, 496 nt
Filed under: uncultured bacterium
Lineage: Bacteria
Description: bacterial SSU rRNA
Rfam family: Bacterial small subunit ribosomal RNA
Source: RNAcentral